UGUUGACGGUACUGUACGAAUAAGGAUCGGCUAACUCCGUGCCAGCAGCCGCGGUAAUACGGAGGAUCCGAGCGUUAUCCGGAAUUAUUGGGUUUAAAGGGUCCGUAGGCGGGAUAAUAAGUCAGUGGUGAAAGUUUGUGGCUCAACCAUAAAAUUGCCAUUGAUACUGUUAUUCUUGAGUUAUUGUGAAGUGGUUAGAAUGUGUAGUGUAGCGGUGAAAUGCAUAGAUAUCACACAGAAUACCAAUAGCCAAGGCAGAUCAUUAACAAUACACUNACNCNCAUGGACNAAAAGCGUANGUUNCCAACAGGAAAUAGCAUACCCUGNNANUCUACGCGAGUAAUAUAUGGUAACUANNCUNUCNGGUCUCUAAUUCAACAAAAAAGUGGCUAAGCGAAAGUGAUAAGUAACCCACCUGGGGAGUACUUUCGCAAGAA
Molecule: ribosomal RNA, 437 nt
Filed under: uncultured Flavobacterium sp.
Lineage: Bacteria; Pseudomonadati; Bacteroidota; Flavobacteriia; Flavobacteriales; Flavobacteriaceae
Description: partial 16S ribosomal RNA
Rfam family: Bacterial small subunit ribosomal RNA
Source: RNAcentral